Long non-coding RNA from Haliotis rubra (blacklip abalone), 732 nucleotides. RefSeq lists it as uncharacterized. NCBI's taxonomy places the organism in Eukaryota, Metazoa, Mollusca, Gastropoda, Lepetellida, Haliotidae. The transcript has 2 exons. The record is from RefSeq and is a predicted model, not a curated record.
AAGAUGUUUGAGAGGAAAAACUAACUUAAGUAUUGUUGAGCCUCAGCUGAGAAGUUGCUUGGCGUCUUUGAAAAAUGAAAGAUUAAGUACAAACCUGGCCCAUACUUAUCGCGUGUUGAUCAACUUGGAGAGCAGUAUAACCUGGAGAAAGUUGAUAGCAGAAGAACGGAUGUCUCAAGGUCAAACACUCCGUUCUUGGAUAAGCUGACAUAUAACCUGACAUAGAGACUGAAUGUCCUGACAAGUCUUUCUGCACUGGAUCUGAGGAAGGCUGGAGACUCUUCAUUCUUGACAUUCAAUGAUUACAGAGCUGACAGAGCACUUUGGCCUUGAUGUUGAUCAGACAAAGCUUGAGUGAAGUCAGGUCAAGGAACUCUUUGCUUGGGAAGUUGACACCUGUUCAUCAUCCACCAUCCUGAAGACUCUGACAAGCCUCAAAACUCAACCCAAACAUUGUGAAGCUCCUGAGCAUUCAUGCUACUGUGAUCCUACUGUGACAUCAGAGGUUGAGAGAGUCUUCUCCAGGUAAGACUCAUUGUGACAGCCGAUAGGAACAGGCUGGAAGUAGAUAACUGCACCAAGCUACUUGUGGUCAGCAUGAAUGCAAAGUCUUCUACUGACAUUGACUUGAGGAAGUCAAGAGGAGAACAUGAAUGAAAUUUAUGAAUUUGCCUCAAAGUAUGCCAAACAGACCCAAAAUGAUGUCAACCUGAAUAAAGUUCUGUACCCUUA